GAUUAACGCUAGCGGCAGGCUUAACACAUGCAAGUCGAGGGGUAGAGGCUUUCGGGCCUUGAGACCGGCGCACGGGUGCGUAACGCGUAUGCAAUCUGCCUUUCACAGAGGGAUAGCCCAGAGAAAUUUGGAUUAAUACCUCAUAGCAUAAUCAGACCACAUGGUUUAAUUAUUAAAGUCACAACGGUGAAAGAUGAGCAUGCGUCCCAUUAGCUAGUUGGUAAGGUAACGGCUUACCAAGGCUACGAUGGGUAGGGGUCCUGAGAGGGAGAUCCCCCACACUGGUACUGAGACACGGACCAGACUCCUACGGGAGGCAGCAGUGAGGAAUAUUGGUCAAUGGGCGCAAGCCUGAGCCAGCCAUGCCGCGUGCAGGAUGACGGUCCUAUGGAUUGUAAACUGCUUUUGUACGGGAAGAAACACUCCCUCGUGAGGGAGCUUGACGGUACCGUAAGAAUAAGGAUCGGCUAACUCCGUGCCAGCCGCCGCCGUAA
This 494-nucleotide ribosomal RNA is filed under the name uncultured bacterium. Its description in RNAcentral is "partial 16S ribosomal RNA". It matches the Rfam family "Bacterial small subunit ribosomal RNA", at positions 28 to 523 of the family's 1533-position model. The record is from RNAcentral.